This 253-nucleotide ribosomal RNA is filed under the name uncultured bacterium. RNAcentral describes it as "partial 16S ribosomal RNA". It matches the Rfam family "Bacterial small subunit ribosomal RNA", at positions 524 to 776 of the family's 1533-position model. The record is from RNAcentral.
UACGUAGGGUGCGAGCGUUGUUCGGAAUUACUGGGCGUAAAGCGUGCGCAGGCGGCUUCUCAAGUCAGGGGUGAAAGCCCAGAGCUCAACUCUGGAAUUGCCUUUGAGACUGAGUGGCUUGAGUACGAGAGAGGUGAGUGGAAUUCCCAGUGUAGAGGUGAAAUUCGUAGAUAUUGGGAAGAACACCGGUGGCGAAGGCGGCUCACUGGCUCGUAACUGACGCUCAUGCACGACAUCGUGGGGAUCAAACAGG